UACUCCUACGGGAGGCAGCAGUGGGGAAUUUUGGACAAUGGGCGCAAGCCUGAUCCAGCCAUGCCGCGUGAGUGAAGAAGGCCUUCGGGUUGUAAAGCUCUUUCAGCCGGGAAGAAAACGCAUGGGUUAAUACCCUGUGUGGAUGACGGUACCGGAAUAAGAAGCACCGGCUAACUACGUGCCAGCAGCCGCGGUAAUACGUAGGGUGCGAGCGUUAAUCGGAAUUACUGGGCGUAAAGCGUGCGCAGGCGGUUUUGUAAGACAGGCGUGAAAUCCCCGGGCUCAACCUGGGAACUGCGUUUGUGACUGCAAGGCUAGAGUAUGGCAGAGGGGGGUUGAAUUCCACGUGUAGCAGUGAAAUGCGUAGAGAUGUGGAGGAACACCGAUGGCGAAGGCAGCCCCCUGGGCCAAUACUGACGCUCAUGCACGAAAGCGUGGGUAGCAAACAGGAUUAGAUACCCUGGUAGUCCACGCCCUAAACGAUGUCAACUAGGUGUUGGGUGGGUAAAACCAUUUAGUACCGGAGCUAACGCGUGAAGUUGACCGCCUGGGGAGUACGGCCGCAAGGUUAAAACUCAAAUGAAUGACGG
RNAcentral lists this ribosomal RNA (590 nucleotides) under uncultured Dechloromonas sp. Its description in RNAcentral is "bacterial SSU rRNA". It matches the Rfam family "Bacterial small subunit ribosomal RNA", at positions 334 to 916 of the family's 1533-position model. Lineage: Bacteria; Pseudomonadati; Pseudomonadota; Betaproteobacteria; Rhodocyclales; Azonexaceae. The record is from RNAcentral.